Molecule: non-coding RNA, 2742 nt
Organism: Lolium perenne
Lineage: Eukaryota; Viridiplantae; Streptophyta; Magnoliopsida; Poales; Poaceae
Source: RefSeq, a predicted model, not a curated record
CAAUCAAAAAGGAGGCAGCCAACCCCCUCUCCCUCUAUAAAUGGCCCUUGGCCGGCCACCUCCACUCCUCUUGCUCUCAUUUUUCUUCUCUCCACUCACUCCUCCACCUUAUCUACUCCCUCACACUCUUCUCCUACUCUCCCCCACGAAAAUGCAGCUCCACCUAGCUCCCAUGGCCGGCCAUGGCCAUGGAAAGAACUCCAAGAUGAAGCUCCCUCCUCCCUCAAGCUCCUCCUCACCAUGAGAGCCUCCCUCUCCUUCUUCUCCCCAACCCUAGAUGGUUUUCUCUCCUCUUCCUCUUCCUCCAUUGCUAAGAUUGGAUCUUGAUGCAGGUGCAUGUUGGUCCAAGCAUGGAGAAGCUUGAGCUAUCCUCAGAUCUGAAGUUCUUGAGCAAAAUCCAAAUCGAGUGAUUCAAAGUUCCGCAGAUAGAUACGGAAAAGAUAUACAACUUGGCGUUGGUCUCAUCCUCAAAUUCGUUACGGAUUGUCCGUGGUGAAAGCCCUCUUCAAUACCUUCAUUUUGGCGGUGGUUUCACUUCGAUUGACCUCCUGAAAAUGAAAUGAUUCACAGGUCAAGAUCUGGUCAGAUCUGACUUUGUCGAAUUAAACCAGGAGCUUGGGAACGAAUCUUUGAGUGAAACAAAUUGGGGGAUGUUUGGUUUAUACCAUGGUGAUAACCGAGAGAGGCAAUUGCUAAGUUGUGAUGCACUCAUACCUCUACUAGAUGCGAACAAUUCCGGAGAAGAAGAAGAAGUGGAAUUGGACAAGGAUUUUAUUUAUAUUGUUGGGAUUCUUAUAUUGAUAGGGUUGAAGAAUUACAGGGACAAAUAAGCCAAGGCAAGCCAUCUUUUGAUCUCUGAUCCGGUGUCUAGUUGGAUGUCAUUUGUUGAUGUUCAAAGCACCUUCAUUCUAUGUGUGUUAUUAUCUCUAUUUAUGUCAUCUAUGUGUGUUUGCAAGUGGGGUACUCCCUAGUGGUGAUGCUCCACUAUUUGUCCUUGUGUUAUGGGAUGCAUGGUAGCAUGGCCGUGCUAUCCCACUUGGUUAUCUUGUAUGCUCAACUUGAGCAUUUUCCAUCUCAAGAUAGUAACUUACACCACACCCACCCCAUUUGUAGUAUAGAGGUAUCAUUGUCAUGAUCUUGGUGUAUUCUCAACUUGAGAGGAGUAUGCCGUGUACCAUCUUGGAGAAUAUGUUGGAUAGUGACACUCCACUAUCUAAGUUGUGUAAUUAGCACCACAAAUCUGAGAGUAUAUUCCUCCUUGUGUUGUCAUAAUACAUGCUUACCUUAAGCAAGUAUGAUCCACUCCACUACCCCUUUAUACCUCAUCUAUGGCGGGAUGACUCUCAUCUCGGCCGUAGUGCAAUACUAGUUCAACUCAUGAAACUAUAGGUUGGGAACCCCUCAAGGUUUACCUUGUUGUAAAUGUUUAUGAAAACCUUGGGUGAGGCAACCUUACCCAAGCGUAUGGUUUAUGAAAGAAAAGGAUCUUGACAAAGAUGGUUGGAAAGAGGAAAGUGUGGGUGUGACUUGGGUUUUUGAGAAAAACGACACAUGGUUCUUUGUAUUCGCCCGGAACAAUUACACAGCGCAACCACAUUAUCCAAAGUGGGUACGGGCUUAGUCUGACGUCUGUUGAAAUUGGCAUGAGCCACCUUCACAACUCUCUAGGAGGGUUGCGAUGACCUCUGACACCGGGUUGCGCUCUGAAGGAGGCAAUACACUGCAUUAACUUGCAGCCGGACGAUUACUGAGGGUCUUCUGUCAUGGCGCCGGAGAUACGCUCAAAAGGAGGUAUGCUGCCGGGGUGCCGGGAAGGGGUAAGCCCGCAGGGAAGGACUCUUGUCAAGGGAGACAGGCGAAGGACUAUGACUGAUUAUCCGAGUCUCGCAUACUUUUGUAUGUCGAACCGGGGAUGAUCCCGGCGGAUUUAUCGGUUCUUGUGGGGAAAGUGCGCACACUCUGCAGAGUUAAAACUAUUCGAAUAGCCGCGUCCGCGGUCAUGGACGGUUGGGAUGGCCGUUACCGAGCUGUGUCGAGUUUUGGUUUUGAAAAAUGAUUUCCAAAGGAAAUGCGUGUGUUGGAAGUACCGGAAGGGUACGGGAAAGAUGUUGUGCCGACCAUGUGGAGAUGGUUGAGGAAAAUGAAUCAAGAUGGGGUGACCCUUCCUAGUGUUUUCAUGUAGAGGAACUCUUCUUCAAUAGAGAAAUAGAGAUGUCUUAGAUAAAUUCUUGGAGUGUCCCCUUCGAUUGAGAAGUUGGGAUGCUAUCUCCACCAAAAACAUCUCUUCUCUUCCACAUGCUAUAUCCACAAGAGAAACUACUCUUCCUCUCUUGUCUUCUUUAGUUAGAAUUGUUAUCACCUUCUUGAUGGUUUGCGAGUACAAUUCAAAUGUACUCACGGCUUUGUCCCUGGCUAUUUACUUGGCCAGACUUGAAGGAGUUCGACAGAUGAAGAAGGAGUUGGCGACGUCUAUGCGAGCUAGGAACGUCUUCCCAGUCAGUUGCAUGUAGGGUUAUGGCAGAUGACUUGGGUACUGCGCUGCUGAAGUGAUGAUGCUACUCUGAUGUUUAGUUAGGCCCUUCGAGGCUAUUAUGUAAUUAUCGGUCAUGUGACCAUGUUGUAAUUUUCUUAUUCCGCUUUGUAAUUGGAUGGUGUAAUUUGAUAUCAGUUCGGUUAUGUGUUCACGGCGCACUGAUCAUGGGAUCGUGAACUGUAUACAUAACAGGGAAUUUCGGACCGUUA